Long non-coding RNA from Frieseomelitta varia, 270 nucleotides. RefSeq lists it as uncharacterized. The record is from RefSeq and is a predicted model, not a curated record. NCBI's taxonomy places the organism in Eukaryota, Metazoa, Arthropoda, Insecta, Hymenoptera, Apidae. The transcript has 3 exons.
UUAUGCGAUGCGACCUCUGUUACGCAGUCAGUUGCUGAACAUGAGGACGUUAAGACGUAUCAUUCAGUGCAAUACUUUCGUCGUACUCUCGUGCUGUUAACUUCGUUUAAUUGAAGUUGUUGGUUAUUGCCUCGAACUAUUAAAGAGACGUCAUGAAAUUUAAGGACGCUACAAAGAUUGGUACAUCCGGGAACUAUUCUCGAAGGUUAUUCCUUGAUCUUUUCGCAGAGGUAGUAUAGAAGAUGCAGAGACGCCACAAUCAUUAAUGGA